AGAGUUUGAUCCUGGCUCAGGACGAACGCUGGCGGCGUGCCUAACACAUGCAAGUCGAGCGGAGACAAUGGAGAGCUUGCUCAAAGGUUGUUUUAGCGGCGGACGGGUGAGUAACGCGUGAGCAAUCUGUCCUGUACAGGGGGAUAACAACUGGAAACAGUUGCUAAUACCGCAUGAGACCACAAUGUCGCAUGGCGAAGGGGUCAAAGGAGAAAUCCGGUACAGGGUGAGCUCGCGUCUGAUUAGCUGGUUGGUGAGGUAACGGCCCACCAAGGCGACGAUCAGUAGCCGACCUGAGAGGGUGGUCGGCCACAUUGGAACUGAGACACGGUCCAAACUCCUACGGGAGGCAGCAGUGGGGAAUAUUGGGCAAUGGGCGAAAGCCUGACCCAGCAACGCCGCGUGAAGGAAGAAGGUUUUCGGAUUGUAAACUUCUGUCCUUGGUGACGAAGGAAGUGACGGUAGCCAAGGAGGAAGCCCCCCGGCUAACUACGUGCCAGCAGCCGCGGU
RNAcentral lists this ribosomal RNA (510 nucleotides) under uncultured bacterium. RNAcentral describes it as "bacterial SSU rRNA". It matches the Rfam family "Bacterial small subunit ribosomal RNA", at positions 8 to 521 of the family's 1533-position model. The record is from RNAcentral.